CGAACUGGUGAACCCCAGGCUGCUGAAGCAGAGCAUGCAAACUUAACCACUGCACCACCAGCCCUGAGCUAACAUUUGCCACCAAUUCUCCUGUUUUUUGCUGAGGAAGAUUGGGCCCUCCUCCAGUUUAUAUGUGGGACACCUGCCACAGCAUGGCUUGCCCCCCGGUACAUAGUCAUAUAUUCUUCGUUGUGGGUCCUUCCAGUUGUGGCAUGUGGGACGCUACCUCAGCGUGGUUUGAUGAGCAGUGCCAUGUCCGCACCCAGGAUUCGAACCAACAAAACACUGGGCCACCUGCAGUGGAGCGCGUGAACUUAACCACUCGGCCACGGGGCCAGACCCUCCUUUUUGAUCACUUCAUUAUAACUAUACAGAUCUUGAUUUUAAUGUUAAAAGAGAGAAAUGACAAGAAAAAUUCAGGGAAUAUAAUAUAUUAUUUUAAAACACAUCCUUUUCCCCAUAAAUGAACCUCUCAUUAUUUGCAUAUCUGUGUGUAACUACAAUGGAAAAAUAAAAUAAC
RNAcentral lists this long non-coding RNA (520 nucleotides) under Equus caballus (horse). Its description in RNAcentral is "lncRNA (ENSECAG00000055502.1)". Lineage: Eukaryota; Metazoa; Chordata; Mammalia; Perissodactyla; Equidae. The record is from RNAcentral.